This 468-nucleotide ribosomal RNA is filed under the name uncultured bacterium. Its description in RNAcentral is "partial 16S ribosomal RNA". It matches the Rfam family "Bacterial small subunit ribosomal RNA", at positions 28 to 507 of the family's 1533-position model. The record is from RNAcentral.
GACGAACGCUGGCGGCGUGCUUAACACAUGCAAGUCGAACGGAAAGGCCCUGCUUUUGUGGUGUGCUAGAGUGGAGCACGGGUGAGAAACACGGGAGUAAUCUGCCCUUGACUUUGGUAUACCUUCAGGACACGGGGGCUAAUACCGGAUAGGAGCUCCUGAUGCAUGGUGGGGGUUGGAAAGUUUCGGCGGGUGGGGAUGGACUCGCGGCUGAUCAGCUGGUUGGUGGGGUAGUGGCUUACCAAGGCUUUGACGGGUAGCCGGCCUGGGAGGGUGACCGGCCACAUGGGGACUGGGAUACGGCCCGGACUCCUACGGGGGGCAGCGGUGGGGAAUAUGGCACAAGGGGCGGAAGCCUGAUGCAGCAAGGCCGCGUGGGGGAUAACGGCCUUCGGGUUGUAACCCGUUUUCGCCUGGGACGAAGCGUGUGUGACGGUAACGUGUAAAGAAGCACCGGCUAACUACGUG